GAGAGAGCACCGGGCAGCUUCUCUCGCCUCUCUCCUUCCCCCUUGUCUCUCACUGGCCUCUGGGUCGCUUCCAAAAGGUUGCUUCCUUCGAGUUUUCCCUGUGAAGCUUCACCUUGGCGUGGUCCACAUGGAAGGCAGAAUCAACCCCACUCACAGGCCUCCACCAAGGCUGCUGCGGGUCUAUCAGCUUGUUCCCCGGGAGUUCAGGAGCCUCCUCAGACCUUCCCGAGGGUCCUCCAGCGAGUCCUCAGUCUCAGCUCUCACAGGUAUGAAGGGGAUCACAGGCUUUUACCUUUUUAAGCUUAUGAAGAAGGCAGCUCCUUUUCUUUACGUCAAGAAGUAGCACGUCUUCUUAAAAGCCAACCAAUGACUUUGUGCGAGAUCCCGUCUGGACAGACAGUUCUGUAAAGAACCCACACAAAAGUCGGUUCUUUUGUAUCCAUUCCUGAUCUCCUGGUAAUGAAAACAGGUUUGGGCAAGAUCUCCCUCACAGGAUCUUACUAAUUCAGAAGCCCCUGGACUCAUGCCUUCAUCAUCUUCCAUACAGAUAUUAACUUUCAAAAUCCCUAAGCUGUAGCUUAUUCUGAGUCCCAUAGCCCAUUGCAUAUACUUUAGCAAUCAUAGGGGGCAAUAAAAAUGCUUUUGGUGUGAACCUAGCUUAGUGUGUUUGAAGCACCAUAUGAUGCAGGCGAGGUCCCUAAAAUAGAUGAGCGCAGACUCGUAUGCUUUCAGAGGGACCGUCCCUGUGGCUUGCUCUGUCGUUGGUAGAUAAAUGCAAUUUAACCUGCUUGAGCAUUUUUGACGUCCAGUUGAAGGGGCUUGGACUGUACAUAGCCUCGGAGCCUGGAACUUCCCCUGGGCUGGGAAUAUGGAAAACACAGCAGCUCCGUCAGAUCGUUUAACUUGUCUUGGGAUCCUGCUCUCAAUAUUGGUAGUCGUCUAACGUGACAUAUCUGCAAUUAAAGGGUGAUGUCAGUUGACACGAUGCCACAGAGGCCAGUUAAACACUGUUCCUUAGAACAUAAGAGCAGGAGUCAAUCCCGAAAACAUUGGUAGUGGUCCAGAGACUGAGUCACUUGGCCGUCUCAGAGCGUCUACGCUAGCUGGAGCAUGUCAGGAAGCCCAGGUUCCCUUCACACCGUGGAAGCAGGAACGCAAGAUGCAGGGAGAUGUACUUUGAAAAGAACGCCCUGCUCUGGGGGACCUGCUCUUUCUUUCCCUCACGACUCAGGUCUCAUCUUCUUUGUGGAUCUUAACCCCGGUACUGCAGCUCUCCGGCUGUGCUGGGCGGGAAAAAGAAAUACUGCACGUCCGCAUUAUUUCUUUACUCAGCGUGCUUUUAGGUGCUUGGCUUUUUUUUUUUUUUUUUUUUUUUUUUUUUUUCUUCUCCUCCUCUGCUUGUUGCAAAAGAGCUGGGAAUUGAAAGAUUAACCUAAUUUAAUUUCAGGGCACCUCCCAUUUUGAUGGAAAUACUUAGAAUAUACUAUAGACUUGUAAAAAGCAUGCCCAAAGUAUACUCAAAUGACUCUGUACUCAUGUUUGCACAAUCGAAACUUCCCACUAAUAGAGAAAUUUCCAGCAUGGAAGAGAGAGACUGUGGCUGCUGCUCUAGAAGGGAAGCAAGGUUAUGUUUCUGCGUUAGUUCCCUAUGGCUGCAGCAGCGAAUAAUCAUCCAUGUGGUGGCUUCAAACAAUACAGGUUUAUCUUACAAUUCUGGAAGUCAGAAAUUUGACGUGGGUCUCCCUGGGCUGAAGUUACUGUAUAAGCAGGGUUGUGUUCCUGUGGGAGCUCCAGGGGAGAAUCUGUUUCCUUGCCAUUUUUAGCUUCUAGAGGCCACCUGCAUUCUUUGGUUUGUGGUCCUUCCUGCAUCCUCAAAGCCAGCAGUGGUGGGUAUAGCCCUUCUUGCAUCACAUCCGUCUAAUUCUUCUGCAAGUAACUUCUUCUACUUGUAAAGACAUUGUGAUUGCACCGAGCCCACCCAGAUCAUCUAAGAUAAUCUAUUUUAAGGUCAACUGAUUAGCAACCUUAAUUCCAUCUUUAUUCUGUCUACCACAAUUUCUAUAGGGUUUUUUCUUUUUCCCUGUAAACUUUACCAAGUAAAUUCCAAACGCAAAUGAGUCCUCUCCCAUCUGUUUUUUCUACUCAAGAAAAACAACUGAAAUUGAUUUCAUGAAACAAUUACAUAAGUGAAUGUGAAGGUAUAAAUUUAUCGUUGGAGGACAAAGGUGGUUUCUUUUUAAAUACAUGUUGGUUAAGAGCCAAAGACUCUUAACUAAAAAUCUGCGGAAAGUACCGCUAUAAACAGAUGACUAUUAAACUUAAAUCGUCAUCAGGUUAAGUUAACUUCGAUGUAACUUAAAUAUUUAUUAGGAGUGAAAGCAAACCUAAAUGUUGAAAAACUCAGAUCCUUAUUUCUCAGCUGUCUCCUCAUUUUUCCAUAAUGUAUUUCUGGCUGUUCAGGGGUAAUUUCCUAGAUUUUAUUAACCUGUAAGGGAAGGGGUUUACACCUAAAUCCAUUCCAGAGAACACCUCAUUUGUAACUCUGGGUUGCAGCUUCCAGAGCCAAAGGGGUUAAGGAAAAUGAGCAUGAACUUAGAAAACCUCCUUGCUUGGGAGCUGAAGUAAGGGAGAUAAAGAAAUGCAAGUGACCUGAUCCAUUAGCCAUACAUAGGCUUCCCUUGGUAAGAUAAUUUGAAAUAAAUGGAAUUUGCCCAUUCAAAAAAUAUGUGCAUUUAAUGCUGAGCACAGUUUUAGGUACUGAAGAUACAGCCAUGUAAAAGGGCAGGCAGAAUGUCUUCCCUCAUGAAGUUUCCUUUCCUACAGGGAGAGCCACAUAAAAAUGUAGACAUAUUAAAUGAUUUUAGAGGAUGUGCAAUAGGAUACAGACACAUCAGCACACACGCAUCACAAAAUAGGCGGCAUGAACUGAAUAAUUAAGGAGACUUCCAUUAAGGACCAGUGACGUAGGUGGGGACAGGUUCAAGGUGAACCAAGGAAACUGGUGCUCUGCCCCACGCCCUUCCUGCCCCUGACUGCCUGUGAGAACAGAAGGUCUGGUGGCAAAAUCACCUGUGGCCUGAGGUCCUAGGAGCCCCCUGUAGUCCAUGACGACUGGCCUCCCUGAGCACAGAAGAGGGUGGACUGGACCCAGAGCGGCAAACCCAAACAUUCCAGCACCUGCUUUUGUGCACAGACGCUUUGCGUUGAAAGGUGUGGGUGUGAUUGGUUGUGGGACAGGCGUUGGGAUCGAUUUAAGAGUUCAAGGAGGAUCUCUCUGAGGGGGGACAUUUGAGCUGUGACCACACAAGACAAAGAAGCCACUGAUGCCUGGAGCAGGGGCACGUGGUUCUUGGCAGGAAGACCCAGGUGCAGGUGCAAAGGACCUGAAGGAGGAAGCAGCUUGGUGUGGUGGGCAGAGGCAUGCGCAUGUGGGUGGAACAGAGUGGGGCAGGGGGCAGAGGGUGGGAGAUGGAGCCAGAGACUCGGGUGACGACCUCAGCGAAAGCCCUGGGUUUCUCCAGAAGAAGACUCUGACAUGGGGGUUGAGUACACACAGCUGGUUGGAAGAUGACCCCAGGAGGCCUGCGAAGGGGUGUGGGAGAGUGAGAAGGGAAGGGAAGGAUUCCAAUAAAGGCAGUGACCUUGACCUGACCUCCGGUGGGCAGGUGGAUUCCGUCCCUCGCCUGCCCCGGGACACCCCAUAUCUCACAGGGCUUCCUCUGCAGUGGAGGAAGUGGGCUGUUUGUUUACCAGUUCCCAUCCAUGGUUCCUCGUGGCCACUCCCAGGGCGUCAUCACUGGCUUCCACUGGAGGAGUUGGUGACAGGAGAUGAGAUGCCCUGGGCAGAUGUGCUUGGGAAGGGUGGGCGCCUGGGCUCCUGUGUCUGCGGACAGUCUGAACGGCACUGCACUCAGUCUCUAAGUAUGACGGGAAGCCAUCAGAGGUGAUAAAUUAUUUGCGUUUUCUCUCUGACUGGGCUGAGCUGUUAGAGAAUAAGGAUACCAAUGGGUUC
This 4012-nucleotide long non-coding RNA is filed under the name Sus scrofa (pig). Its description in RNAcentral is "lncRNA (ENSSSCG00025058485.1)". Lineage: Eukaryota; Metazoa; Chordata; Mammalia; Artiodactyla; Suidae. The record is from RNAcentral.